This is a long non-coding RNA of Drosophila nasuta, 624 nucleotides long. RefSeq lists it as uncharacterized. The transcript is spliced from 3 exons. The record is from RefSeq and is a predicted model, not a curated record. NCBI's taxonomy places the organism in Eukaryota, Metazoa, Arthropoda, Insecta, Diptera, Drosophilidae.
UUUUGGUGCCUUCAAAUUAUUCCAAAAUGCUUAGCUAUUCUUAAAAAAUGGUCAUAGUCAACAAAAUGAAAGGAAAUAUGCAGAGAAAUAUGAUUUUUACAGAGCACUUUGCUUGUUAUGAUGUAGAACGGAUAUAAGUAAGGUAGAGUUGAGUAAGCGGGUAUUUCUCCUAAUGCUAAGUUGGUCACACUCAACCGAUGCUGUUUGGGAUAUUUCAGCACCAAAUCAUAAUCACUAUUUAUUGUAAAUAGUUUAAGCAUGCCAACGACCCUUCACUGUAAAAUAGCGACGAAGAGGGAAGAAAGCUCACGCAAGUGAGGUACAACAAACUUUGAAAUGUUCUAAUUACGCCAAGCAUAGAUGAGUGCGGAGAUGAAAUUCGAAAUGGAGAUGAAAUUGUAGGUGAAGAUGGAGUUGAAGCAAAAACGGAACCGGAAGUGCAGGCCGAGACGGAAGACGAUGCUUGCGCUGGCAAAGUUAGGCGAAGGCGACAGGCAAACGGAAAUGCAUCAGUGUCAGAUUUUGCGCGACGCGCCCAACGCAAUUUCGUUAAGAACUGCGCAAAGUUGUUAAAUUUUACGAUUUAAUUGCGAAACUAUUAAAAAUUACGUCUCUUUUACUGGG